AUAGUUUUUUGACAUUAGCUUUCAUAAAAAUUUUAAAUCUUAGUUUAAUAAUAUUUGCUAUGUUCUCUAUUUGAGAACUGUAUAUUCAAUGGAUUUUUGAAACAGGGAACUGAGUUAGGGGCUUACUCCAUCCGUCCCAUGCAUCACUCUGGUAUUGCUGUGUGUCCAGGAGUGAUGUACUUUCC
Emys orbicularis (European pond turtle) is the source of this 185-nucleotide small nuclear RNA. RefSeq annotates it as U2 spliceosomal RNA. The record is from RefSeq and is a predicted model, not a curated record. The transcript has a single exon. Lineage: Eukaryota; Metazoa; Chordata; Testudines; Emydidae.